UUCGGUUAUCGAUGAUUUAUA
Non-coding RNA from Caenorhabditis elegans, 21 nucleotides. The record is from Ensembl. Lineage: Eukaryota; Metazoa; Nematoda; Chromadorea; Rhabditida; Rhabditidae.